Molecule: RNA transcript, 2597 nt
Organism: Sesamum indicum (sesame)
Lineage: Eukaryota; Viridiplantae; Streptophyta; Magnoliopsida; Lamiales; Pedaliaceae
Gene name: vacuolar-sorting receptor 1
Source: RefSeq, a predicted model, not a curated record
UAGGGGCAGGGGGAGGUUAACAGUAGAGUAGUGAGUGUACUUAACACGUCUCUUUACUAAUUACGAGUGAGAUGAAAGGGUGGAGUGGAUGGUUUGAGUUUGUUUUUACUUGUUCUUCAUCUCCUCCUCCUCUUCACCCUUCACCAUUCUCUCUCAUGUGCUUUGGGUUAUAUUAUCAUUAUUAUAAUACCUUUGCUGCCUCCCUCCUCAUAUUUUUAUUUCUCUUUCACCUCUUCCCCCCCACCCUAUUUUCUUGAUCCGCUUUGCUUCCCAUCUUUUUCCUGAUUACUUCAACCCCGAGUUAUCAACGAUGCGGCUCCACUUUUGUCUUUUCACUUGUGUUUCCUUUCUUCUACUCGCCUCCUGUUUCGGGAGAUUUGUAGUCGAGAAGAACAGUUUGAAAGUUGCUUCACCAGACUCACUCAAAGGUCUUCAUGAAUGUGCAAUUGGUAAUUUUGGGGUUCCUCAGUAUGGUGGAACAUUGGUUGGCUCUGUCUUCUACCCUAAAUCCAAUCAAAAGGCAUGUACCAAUUUUCAAGAUGUUGAUCUUUCCUUUCAGACCAAGCCUGGAGGCAUUCCAAUCUUCCUUCUGGCUGACAGAGGGGACUGCUACUUCACAUUAAAGGCAUGGAAUGCUCAGAAUGGUGGAGCCGCAGCUAUUCUUGUGGCGGAUGACAGGGUUGAGCCUCUUAUUACCAUGGAUACCCCAGAGGAAGAGGAUGCACGUGCAGAUUAUCUGCAGAACAUAACUAUCCCAUCAGCACUCAUCAGCAAGGAUCUCGGGGACAAAAUUAAAAAAGAACUAUCUAAAGGAGAAAUGGUCAGCAUAAAUCUUGAUUGGAGGGAAGCUCUUCCACAUCCAGAUGAGCGGGUUGAGUAUGAGUUGUGGACAAACAGUAAUGAUGAGUGUGGUCCCAAGUGUGACAGCCAGUUAAGUUUUAUCAGAAAUUUCAAAGGAGCUGCUCAGAUACUUGAGCAGGGGGGCUAUACUCAGUUCACUCCACAUUAUAUAACUUGGUAUUGUCCUGAGGCUUUUAUAUUAAGUAAGCAGUGCAAGUCACAGUGCAUCAACCACGGGAGGUAUUGUGCACCAGAUCCCGAGCAGGAUUUCAACAGAGGAUAUGAUGGGAAGGAUGUUGUUGAGCAAAAUUUACGCCAAGCCUGCUUCUUUAAGGUAGCAAAUGAAAGUGGAAAACCGUGGCAGUGGUGGGACUAUGUGACUGAUUUUUCAAUCCGCUGUCCAAUGAAAGAAAACAAGUAUACUAAAGAGUGUGCAGAUAAAGUAAUUCAAUCGCUCGGAGUCGACAUUAAGAAGAUAGACGAAUGCGUUGGAGACACUGAAGCAGAUGUUGACAACCCAAUUCUAAAAGCAGAACAGGAAUCACAGAUAGGGAAGGGCUCACGAGGAGACGUUACUAUCUUGCCAACUCUUGUUGUGAACAACAGGCAAUAUAGAGGUAAGCUGGACAAGGGAGCAGUUCUUAAGGCAAUUUGCUCAGGUUUCGAGGAGACUACAGAACCUGCUAUUUGUUUGACUAAAGAUAUGGAGACAAACGAGUGUUUGUAUAACAAUGGUGGAUGCUGGCAGGAUAAGGCUGCUAAUAUUACUGCUUGCAGGGAUACCUUCCGAGGGAGGGUGUGUGAGUGCCCCAUUGUGCAGGGCGUGAAAUUUUCUGGUGAUGGUUACACCCAUUGUGAAGCUUCUGGUGCAUUGAGAUGUGAAAUAAACAACGGAGGUUGCUGGAAAGGAACGAAAGAUGGAAGGACAUAUUCUGCGUGCAUUGAUGACCAUACAAAAGGUUGCAAGUGUCCACCAGGGUUCAGAGGUGAUGGAGUUAAUAGCUGUGAAGAUAUUGAUGAAUGCAAGGAAAAUCUGGCUUGCCAGUGUCCAGAGUGCAAAUGCAAGAACACUUGGGGAAGUUAUGAAUGUAGUUGCAGUAGCAACGCACUAUACAUUCAUGAACAUGACACGUGUAUAAGUAAAGAUGCUAGUACAGAAUAUAGCUGGAGUUUUGUGUGGGUGGUUUUUCUUGGUUUGGCUGUGGCAGGAGCUGCAGGAUAUGCUCUAUACAAGUACAGGAUCCGGAGAUACAUGGACUCGGAGAUCCGGGCUAUCAUGGCGCAGUACAUGCCUUUGGACAAUCAAGGGGAGGUACCGAAUCACAUGACUCAAGGGCAUGUUUGAGGAUGGCGAGGAAAAUGGAAAUGUUAUGUACCCUCCAUCACAUGUUUAUUUGGUUGUGUGGUGUAUGCUGCCAUCAGGGGCACCUACGCAAUCGUUAUGUGAUGGUUGUUUUUACAGGGUUGUUCUGUAAAAUGACUACCCCUGCACAGCGUCCAAGGACAGAGGCAUAUGCUAAUAGCUUGGGCAAGAAGGCCGUUUGACACUUUCCUAGAAAGAACUGGGUGAUACCCCCCAUUGUUGUGGCAUGCAGUAUUGCAACUUUCUUCACAUCCGGUGUCCAUGCAUCAUACAAAAUUGAGAGACUGCGUCAGGAACCUAGGAUUUCACAUAGUUGUGACGGUGGUUAGCAUGUUAUACUUGUGUAACUCAGGCCGUGGCCUACAAUUCAUUAAUGCAUUGAUUAAUGCCUGUU